Molecule: long non-coding RNA, 887 nt
Filed under: Elaeis guineensis (African oil palm)
Lineage: Eukaryota; Viridiplantae; Streptophyta; Magnoliopsida; Arecales; Arecaceae
Description: long non-coding RNA (EGUI_LNC080280)
Source: RNAcentral
GAUGAUCGGUAAUAAAUGAUGAGAUUAUUUUUCCGCACGGUCGCAGCGUUCAUGCCAUCCUAUUGGCGAUUUCCCAUUAUAAAAUUCCAUUUCAUGAGGGUUGUAUCUUCGCCGCCCUUCACUCAAUCUCUGUCUCUCUGAAGCCGGAGUUCUACCCCUCUCCUCCUCUCUCCCGUCUGCUUCGGAAGCGGAGAAAUCCCUCCUCGAUCUCAACGCCAUCGGCGUCGCGAAAGGUAACCGAUUUUCCGGAUCCCGAUUGAUUUUUUUUUCUUUUCAUAAUAGUCGUAGAUCUUUUUGAAUCGGAGCUUUCGGCGAGUUUUUCUGUUUCUUUCGUGUAGAUCUGUUGAUGGAUGUGAUCUCUUUUGUUGUUGUUGUUGGAUCUCUGUGAUUGAUGGCUCGAAGGAACUUGCUUUUAUUUUUUUCCUAAUUUUUUUUUUGGUAUGUUUGGAUUUUUUUUUUAAGGUUAAAAUAGUGAUCGGUGACAAAAUUGUUUAAUUUUUCAAUUUUAUUUUCCGUUGUUUAUAUGGCUUAAGAUUGAUCUGCUCUCUGGGUAUGGAGUGUAUGGUAUGUGAUUGAGGAUCGGAAAUAGACUGAAGUAAUCGGGUCCGAAAAUGGGAUUUGAACUAGACUUGAGUUUGUAAACUUGAAAAUAAUUGCGUUUAUUUAUAUGGAGAUUAUGAUCGAUCUCAAGGAGUGCAUGAUAUGCAUGGAUGCUAAUCGGUCGUGAUUGGGUGCAGUCGACAAGAUGUGAGAAUGCCCAAAUGAUUUUCCAGUGACGUGAAAAAUUAGAGUGUUUUGGAUUUUUUUUUCUUGUUAGGUUUUGGAAGUUGAUUUGGUCGAUUUGAAUUAACGAGAACAAUGAUUUUUCCGUCCACUGUAUAAUAGUC